UGGGGAAUAUUGCGCAAUGGGGGAAACCCUGACGCAGCGACGCCGCGUGCGGGAUGAAGGCCUUCGGGUUGUAAACCGCUUUUGAUUGGGAGCAAGCCUUUUGGGUGAGUGUACCUUUCGAAUAAGCGCCGGCUAACUACGUGCCAGCAGCCGCGGUAAUACGUAGGGCGCAAGCGUUAUCCGUAAUUAUUGGGCGUAAAGAGCUUGUAGGCGGUUCGUCACGUCCGGUGUGAAAGGCCAUCGCUUAACGGUGGGUUUGCGCCGGGUACGGGCGGGCUAGAGUGCAGUAGUGGGGACUGGAAUUCCCGGUGUAACGGUGGAAUGUGUAGAUAUCGGGAAGAAAACCAAUGGCGAAGGCAGGUCUCUGGGCUGUUACUGACGCUGAGAAGCGAAAGCGUGGGGAGCGAACAGG
This 412-nucleotide ribosomal RNA is filed under the name Verrucomicrobiota bacterium. RNAcentral's name for it is "Verrucomicrobia bacterium partial 16S ribosomal RNA". It matches the Rfam family "Bacterial small subunit ribosomal RNA", at positions 355 to 776 of the family's 1533-position model. Lineage: Bacteria; Pseudomonadati; Verrucomicrobiota. The record is from RNAcentral.